This 777-nucleotide ribosomal RNA is filed under the name uncultured Neocallimastigales. RNAcentral describes it as "partial large subunit ribosomal RNA". It matches the Rfam family "Eukaryotic large subunit ribosomal RNA", at positions 24 to 637 of the family's 3401-position model. Lineage: Eukaryota; Fungi; Neocallimastigomycota; Neocallimastigomycetes; Neocallimastigales. The record is from RNAcentral.
UACGACUACAUAUCAGGCAUAUCAAUAAGCGGAGGAAAAGAAACUAACAAGGAUUCCCUUAGUAACGGCGAGUGAAGCGGGAAGAGCUCAAAUUUGAAAUCUUCAAGGUUUUACCUUGACGAAUUGUAGUUUAAAGAAGUGUUUUCUGUUAGAGAGUUCGGUAAGAGUUCUUUGGAAUAGGACAUCAUAGAGGGUGAGAAUCCCGUAUUUGACCAGUUACUUUCCAGCUGUGUGAUACACUUUCAAAGAGUCGGAUUGUUUGGGAAUGCAGUCCAAAAUGGGUGGUAAAUUUCAUCUAAAGCUAAAUAUUGGCGAGAGACCGAUAGCGAACAAGUACCGUGAGGGAAAGAUGAAAAGAACUUUGAAAAGAGAGUUAAACAGUACGUGAAAUUGUCAAAAGGGAAGCGUUUGACACCAGUGUUGUUUUCUCGAAAAUCAAUUAAAAAUGAUUGGAUUUUGUGUUGUAUUGACUUUAUCAGCUUUCUGCACUCUUUUCUUGUCUUUUUUAAUGCACUUUUCGUUUAACAAGUCAACAUCAAUUUCUUUUGUUGUAAAAGGGUCAUUGGAAGGUGGCUUUCUUUUCGGAGAAAGUGUUUAUAGCCUUUGACUUCUGCAAUCGGAGAGAUUGAGGUCUGCAGCGUAGAUCCUUCGGGGUUAGAUGCAUUUGUGCUAAGUUAUAGCCCUUCAUAGACAACUUGUUGACUAUGAUCAGUCAUGUAGCUUACUCGCUUAUGUUAUUUUACCUACGCUUAGGAUGUUGACGCGCGUGUGUGCGUG